This 407-nucleotide ribosomal RNA is filed under the name bacterium enrichment culture clone ALO1_GLFRUDD03GSSHJ. RNAcentral's name for it is "bacterial SSU rRNA". It matches the Rfam family "Bacterial small subunit ribosomal RNA", at positions 9 to 414 of the family's 1533-position model. The record is from RNAcentral.
GAGUUUGAUCAUGGCUCAGAUUGAACGCUGGCGGCAUGCCUUACACAUGCAAGUCGAACGGCAGCACGGGAGCUUGCUCCUGGGUGGCGAGUGGCGAACGGGUGAGUAAUGCAUCGGAACGUAUCCUGGAGUGGGGGAUAACGUAGCGAAAGUUACGCUAAUACCGCAUAUUCUGUGAGCAGGAAAGCGGGGGACCUUCGGGCCUCGCGCUCUUGGAGCGGCCGAUGUCGGAUUAGCUAGUUGGUGAGGUAAAGGCGUCACCAAGGCGACGAUCCGUAGCAGGUCUGAGAGGAUGAUCUGCCACACUGGAACUGAGACACGGUCCAGACUCCUACGGGAGGCAGCAGUGGGAAUUUUGGACAAUGGGGGCAACCCGUGAUCCAGCCAUGCCGCGUGAGUGAAGAAGG